RNAcentral lists this transfer RNA (66 nucleotides) under Pemphigus obesinymphae. RNAcentral describes it as "tRNA-Leu". The record is from RNAcentral. Lineage: Eukaryota; Metazoa; Arthropoda; Insecta; Hemiptera; Aphididae.
UANGGCAGAACAUACAUGCAAUGAACUUAAAAUUCAUUUAUAAAGAUUAAUCUUUUUUUAGAAAUU